AACCUGUUUUCUAAUCGAUAACCCACGUUAAAUUUCACUUUAAUUAAAAAUUUAUAUACCGCCAUCUAAAAAACUAAUUUAAAAAUAAUAUUUUUAUUAAAAAAUAAAAAGUUAGGUCAAGGUGUAAUCUAUAUUAAAGUAAACAAUGGGUUACAUUAAAAACAAUUUAAGGAUUUUCUUUCUAUAAAAAUAUCUAAAAAAGGAUUUAAAAGUAAUAUUGUAAUAAUAUUACAUUAUGAUUAAGAUAAUAAAUGUGC
This 257-nucleotide ribosomal RNA is filed under the name Hogna radiata. RNAcentral describes it as "partial 12S ribosomal RNA". The record is from RNAcentral. Lineage: Eukaryota; Metazoa; Arthropoda; Arachnida; Araneae; Lycosidae.